GCGUCGCGAGCUUUGCUCCCUUCUCCUGACCCUGGGCCAUUGAGUAAAAGGGCGGAGCUGCAGCAGGGAACCGCCUUGCCAGGGUUUCUUGGUGACUGUCCUGGAACUUACUCAGUAGACUAAACUGUCCUUGAACUCACAGAGAUCUACCUGCCACCUGCCUCAGCCUCCAGAGUGCUGGGAUUAAAGGUGUGCACUAUCACACCCAGUGAAAUUUGAAGGUUUUAUUGAUCCGGAACUUGAUACAGCCCAAUCCUUUUCGCAAUCUGGACCUUGAUCUUCCCCUAUCUCAGGCUAUCCCUGAGCUAUCCUUGGACUACAAUGGCCUGAGAGACUUAGAAGUACUUCCAUAGCUCAGGUGGUAGCUGUCAUUCUGGCUCUACGUCCCGGGGAUGUUCAUGGAAGCCACUGCAGUGGUCACCAUCCCUAGGGUCACCAUAGCCCGACGAUGAUGAAGAUGAUAAUGAUGAUGGCCGACCUGGCCAGGAUCCUUGGCUCCUAGUGUAACCUUGUCCUGAUAACCAAUAUAGUCAUUUGACAACUGUCAUUUUCACAUAUGUGCAUAUGUGUGCCCUGGGUUCCUGAGGAACUUGCCCCUGUAGACCUUACAGGUUCCUCUGAUACCUUGAAUGUCAGUCGCUGUGAGCAAGGUGUUCUAAUGUCUUGCCUUGGGCUGGUUUCCUGGCAGUGAUAGGUGCCAUUGUGGUUUAGGUUGACAAGUAGUGAGGUACCUCAGGCCUGGUGUCCUCAUGCUGGAGCUUCAGAGCUCAUUGCCCUGGGCCUGACACUGCCAGAUGUGCUUUAAAACCCUCGAGGUGCAAGUGGCCAGGCCCUUUCCGUAGACAACCAAACCCUGGCCUACAGAAAGAGAGAAAAAAAAGCCCAAGAUCAGGCUGUAGAAUCCCACCAGCCCCUGAGCUUGUCCUAAGAUCUGGCCACAGAAUCCCACCAACUCCCAGGGCGUCCUGAAAACCCCUUUAUAUAAAGCCUGUCUCCUGCUCAGCCCUCUGCUGCUUGUCUCCAGAACGAAGGCAUCCACUCUCUUGUGUUUUUCCAGUAAAUCUCUUGUGUGAGG
Molecule: long non-coding RNA, 1075 nt
Organism: Apodemus sylvaticus (European woodmouse)
Lineage: Eukaryota; Metazoa; Chordata; Mammalia; Rodentia; Muridae
Exons: 2
Source: RefSeq, a predicted model, not a curated record